Molecule: ribosomal RNA, 389 nt
Filed under: Clostridioides difficile
Lineage: Bacteria; Bacillati; Bacillota; Clostridia; Peptostreptococcales; Peptostreptococcaceae
Description: bacterial SSU rRNA
Rfam family: Bacterial small subunit ribosomal RNA
Source: RNAcentral
AAUAUCAAAGGUGAGCCAGUACAGGAUGGACCCGCGUCUGAUUAGCUAGUUGGUAAGGUAACGGCUUACCAAGGCGACGAUCAGUAGCCGACCUGAGAGGGUGAUCGGCCACAUUGGAACUGAGACACGGUCCAAACUCCUACGGGAGGCAGCAGUGGGGAAUAUUGCACAAUGGGCGAAAGCCUGAUGCAGCAACGCCGCGUGAGUGAGGAAGGCCUUCGGGUCGUAAAACUCUGUCCUCAAGGAAGAUAAUGACGGUACUUGAGGAGGAAGCCCCGGCUAACUACGUGCCAGCAGCCGCGGUAAUACGUAGGGGGCUAGCGUUAUCCGGAUUUACUGGGCGUAAAGGGUGCGUAGGCGGUCUUUCAAGUCAGGAGUGAAAGGCUACG